This 436-nucleotide ribosomal RNA is filed under the name uncultured bacterium. RNAcentral describes it as "bacterial SSU rRNA". It matches the Rfam family "Bacterial small subunit ribosomal RNA", at positions 355 to 787 of the family's 1533-position model. The record is from RNAcentral.
UGAGGAAUAUUGGUCAAUGGGCGGGAGCCUGAACCAGCCAAGCCGCGUGAGGGAGGAAGGCCCUAUGGGUCGUAAACCUCUUUUGUCAGGGAACAAAAGCGAGUAUGUAUACUAGUCUGAGUGUACCUGAAGAAAAACGCAUCGGCUAACUCCGUGCCAGCAGCCGCGGUAAUACGGAGGAUGCGAGCGUUAUCCGGAUUUAUUGGGUUUAAAGGGUGCGUAGGCGGCGGUGCAAGUCAGCGGUAAAAGCCCGGGGCUCAACCCCGGCGAGCCGUUGAAACUGCAGUGCUGGAGAAGGCGAGAGGUACGCGGAAUGCGCAGUGUAGCGGUGAAAUGCUUAGAUAUUGACGCAGAACUCCGAUUGCGAAGGCAGCGUACUGGCGCCUGACUGACGCUGAGGCACGAAAGCGUGGGGAUCGAACAGGAUUAGAUACCC